Pelodiscus sinensis (Chinese soft-shelled turtle) is the source of this 1051-nucleotide non-coding RNA. Lineage: Eukaryota; Metazoa; Chordata; Testudines; Trionychidae. The record is from RefSeq and is a predicted model, not a curated record.
CCUCGCUGGGGCAGUGGCCCAGCCACCUUGGCAGCAGCAUCUCCCCUUUUUCUGAUCCUGCAAAAGCUUCCCGGCUGCUGCUCCAUCAGGAACUGGCUUGGGGGGAUGGAGCCAGGACACAGCUGAGCUCCACAGCAUCAAUCUGUGGACAGCGUACUGGAAGUAAAUGAUGCCUCAUUCCUGUGACUUUCGCUCCAUAAUGGCUACCGAACCGCGGCAGGAUACUCGACCAAUGGAAACUCGGUUCCAAAAGGACCCAUGCUAAUGACUAAUAAGGAGGGGGAUAGUCACAGUGUUGUGGGAAAAAAAGCCACUUUCUUUCCCACCAGAUAACUGGAGGCUCCCUUUCCAGAGAUACCCACAUUCCAUAGGAUUCAACUUUCUACAUUUCUGGGGGUUGACAAGAACAGAGAAGCACAGGAAAAAAGAGUUUGGGAAAAUAUAAAACCACAUUAUCCCUAAAGCUUGUGUCAGAAAUUUUCAAAGCCAGGCACGAGAUUAAAGUGAUGGGAGACGCAAACGUAAAUCUACCCCGCUGCUUUGAACAUCUCAACCGUGCUGUGACUGUCUCUGUCUUCACUGUCAACAUUUGGCUGGAUGUAUCCCUUGUCUCUUCAAUGUGGCUUUGUGCUACAAGCUGAAAACAAUAUCUGUCUAGCUAAGGAUUAAACAUUUAGGGCCAGACUGGCAGGAUCAAGCAGCCUAAAGGGAAAGUUUAUAUGAAGCCGAUCCGUGGGGAACCAGUUUGGCGUGGGGAGAUCCAUCAUUGGAACGGUGCUCAUGCAGAUGGUGAAGGCCAUCAACAGGGUGCUGCUCUGCAGAGUCAUCCGCCUCACCGACCUGGACGCGGUCAUCCAGGGGUUUGGUUGUUAUAAUUUGGAAAUAGAAAUACAAUGCCUAAUGAAAAGAGAGGUUUAGAAUGGUAGUUGUGCUGUAAGCACAAAAGGGGGGACUGUGGAGGCAGGAAAAAGGGAAUAAAGGAAUUUGUGUGCAGCCAUCUUGGUCUUGUUAACAAGAGAGCAAGAGUCAGGCUAAGUUUGUGGCCUGACAA